Molecule: ribosomal RNA, 510 nt
Filed under: uncultured bacterium
Lineage: Bacteria
Description: partial 16S ribosomal RNA
Rfam family: Bacterial small subunit ribosomal RNA
Source: RNAcentral
GACGAACGCUGGCGGCGUGCUUAACACAUGCAAGUCGAACGAAGAGCGGUGGAAGCUUGCUUCUAUCAAUCUUAGUGGCGAACGGGUGAGUAACGCGUAAUCAACCUGCCCUUCAGAGGGGGACAACAGUUGGAAACGACUGCUAAUACCGCAUACGAUCUAACCUCGGCAUCGAGGAUAGAUGAAAGGUGGCCUCUACAUGUAAGCUAUCACUGAAGGAGGGGAUUGCGUCUGAUUAGCUAGUUGGAGGGGUAACGGCCCACCAAGGCGAUGAUCAGUAGCCGGUCUGAGAGGAUGAACGGCCACAUUGGGACUGAGACACGGCCCAGACUCCUACGGGAGGCAGCAGUGGGGAAUCUUCCGCAAUGGACGAAAGUCUGACGGAGCAACGCCGCGUGAGUGAUGACGGCCUUCGGGUUGUAAAGCUCUGUUAAUCGGGACGAAAGGCCUUCUUGCGAAUAGUUAGAAGGAUUGACGGUACCGGAAUAGAAAGCCACGGCUAACUACGUG